RNAcentral lists this long non-coding RNA (429 nucleotides) under Physcomitrium patens. RNAcentral's name for it is "long non-coding RNA (PPAT_LNC001400)". The record is from RNAcentral. Lineage: Eukaryota; Viridiplantae; Streptophyta; Bryopsida; Funariales; Funariaceae.
UGAUUAGGAUUUAAUUAGGGUUUGAUAAGGAUUUAGGAUUUUAUUUAGGGUUAGGAUUAGGAUUUUUUUUUUUAUUUAAGCUUGGCUAGAAUUUGUUUAAGAUCUGAAUAGGAUUUAUUUAGAGUUAUACUAGGAUUUAUUUUGGAUUUGAUUAGAAUUUGGUUAAAGUUUGUUUAGAAUUUGAUUGGAAUUUGAUUAGGAUUUGACUAGGAUUUGACUAAGAUUUGUCUAGGAUUUAAUUAGAAAUUAUUUAGGAUUCGACUAGAGUUUGACAAGGAUUUGAUCAAGUUUUGACUAAGAUUUGAUUAAGGUUUGAUCAAGAUUUGAUUAAAUUUUGACUAAAGUUUAAUUAAGAUUUUUAUUUUAAUUUUUAUUUAAGAUUUCUAUUUUAGUAUUUUUUUUUUGAAUUUCUAUGUUAUUUAUUUAUGA